Molecule: ribosomal RNA, 161 nt
Filed under: uncultured bacterium
Lineage: Bacteria
Description: partial 16S ribosomal RNA
Rfam family: Bacterial small subunit ribosomal RNA
Source: RNAcentral
AAUCGCGGAUCAGCAUGCCGCGGUGAAUACGUUCCCGGGCCUUGUACACACCGCCCGUCACACCAUGAGAGUUUGUAACACCCAAAGCCGGUGGGGUAACCUUUUGGAGCCAGCCGUCUAAGGUGGGACAGAUGAUUGGGGUGAAGUCGUAACAAGGUACC